Molecule: long non-coding RNA, 621 nt
Filed under: Eutrema salsugineum
Lineage: Eukaryota; Viridiplantae; Streptophyta; Magnoliopsida; Brassicales; Brassicaceae
Description: long non-coding RNA (ESAL_LNC001648)
Source: RNAcentral
GAAGGAGACGUGGGGUGAUAUCCUCCGUUAGAUUGGAGGGUUUAGAUCUCGCCUCCAUCAUCAUAUUAACAUUCCUCUUAAUAUCUCCGACAAGAGGCGUGUAAGUAGUUCCGGCGAGACCCUGUCUUCUCAGGUAACUCUCCAGCAUCUUUGGUUUUAUCCAGACCCACUUCACUAAUCGCCAUGUCCACAACAACACAACUGCUAUAACAGCCACUAAAGCUGCUACUACUGAAAAAGACAUCCUCGAUUCUUCUCUCAUUCACUCUGAAUUCCGCAAGUUGAGACCUUUUUUCCUAACAAUGGAGUUUCGAUUGUACAAUUUACAGUGCAGAUCCUUUGCCGCCAAAGGGGCUUUGUCUAUUGUUCUUGUCGUGUAAGGAUUUUUCAACUGUUCUUAUCUAAUUGCAAAUUUUUUAAUCAAUAAAAAUCUUCAAAAGAGAUCCACUAACUUCUAUUUUAUAUAAGUGCUCUCCUCAACGCUUUAAGUGCGUGUGUUUCAGGCGCCGAGAAGUCCACGGAGAACACGCUGCAAGAGUUAAGCAGACUUUAUUUAUGAUACUGGGAGAUCAUGUAUUGGUUAUCUCACAAACACUUCCCUUACUGAAAGUUAGUUUAAUG